AUAAAAGAUUUAGACCUCCACUGAAAUGUUCAUGAUUACACAGAGGUUACCCAACUUUGCGUGACAGGCAGGCGUCACGUGUCCAAGGGAGGGGAGGAGUGAAGGGAGGGUCAGCGGAGGAAUACAGGUUGGGAGGAACGAAGGGGAAGCAGAUGGAGGAGAUCCACUCACAGGAUUCUGCGUUGUUGAUUUGUGUGUGGAAGUAUCGUGGGUUUUGCCUGCCUCCAUUGUUGCUCGUCUGCUGAAAUAAGUUGUACCCCAGCAGGCCCCUCUUCAGGUCCAGCGGGUUCUCUGGCCAAUUUGAUGCUGAAUCGAGUUAGUCUAAUUUCUUCAACGAACUUCAAUAUUUUUACUACAAAGUGACAAAGUA
Long non-coding RNA from Scylla paramamosain (green mud crab), 370 nucleotides. RefSeq lists it as uncharacterized. The transcript is spliced from 3 exons. The record is from RefSeq and is a predicted model, not a curated record. NCBI's taxonomy places the organism in Eukaryota, Metazoa, Arthropoda, Malacostraca, Decapoda, Portunidae.